UUGUGUGUUGGGUGUAUCCCAGAAGCCCACAUCAAAUGGAAAAUCACCCUCACCUCCCUGGAUUUGUUCAAUCAUACCAUCCAUGGGUCCCUUUUUCUGUGCUGCAGUUUCUUCUGUCCUGAGGCUUGCGAUAAGCAUCUCUCCAGAAGCCGAAAAGUCAGUUUCUUGAUCCAUUUGAGCAUGCUCAGCUAACAGGCUUUCCCACCAUAUGAUGUCAUCAUUCGGUUGUGGUGACGUGGAUCAGCUUACUGGAAGUACUUACUUGUGUGUCAAAAGUAUCCACAGCUGUAGUUUUUAGUUCAAACCUUGGCAAGGCUUUGGAGAACUUGUGAGGGUGAGGUUUUAUAGCUUUGGUUUUAGAAUGUGUUCCCUUUUUCUGUGUUGCAGUUUCUUCUGUCCAGAGGCUUGCGAUAAGCAUCUCUCCAGAAGCCGAAAAGUCAGUUUCUUGAUCCAUUUGAGCAUGCUCAGCUAACAGGCUUUCCCACCAUAUGAUGUCAUCAUUCGGUUGUGGUGACGUGGAUGAUGGCUUACUGGAAGUACUUACUUGUGUGUCAAAAGUAUCCACAGCUGUAGUUUUUAGUUCAAACCUUGGCAAGGCUUUGGAGAACUUGUGAGGGUGAGGCUUUAUAGCUUUGGUUUUAGAAUGUGUUUGGGGUUUUUUUCUCCCUUCUUCCUGGAACUGAACCUUCUUUUUCAGGUGGUGACCAUGCCAAUAGUUCUUGACAUCAUUAGCAGUCCUCCCUGGAAGCCUACCCGCAAUCAAGGACCAUCUAUACACGCACAACAUCAGACAAAGUAUCAACUGAACAGCUCUUUUGUAAGUUCUGAACAGCUUCAGAACUAAUAUAAUAUCAUUAUCAAGCUAGUACUUGAGUUAUUAUAGACUUGCCUGUUCCCCAACAAAUUGUGAAGCCUAAUCAUGAGAUCAACCUCGUCUAAUGCAAACUCUCCUCUCUUGAUAUCUGGCUUCAAAUAAUUGAGCCAUCUCAAUCUGCAGCUCUUUAGGCAUCUAUUCAACCCUGCAAACUCAAGAAAACGAAACUCUUUAAGCAAAACAGAAGUAAAAAAAACACAAAUUAAUACUGAUCCCUUUCUCUU
RNAcentral lists this long non-coding RNA (1098 nucleotides) under Vitis vinifera (wine grape). Its description in RNAcentral is "long non-coding RNA (VVIN_LNC000529)". The record is from RNAcentral. Lineage: Eukaryota; Viridiplantae; Streptophyta; Magnoliopsida; Vitales; Vitaceae.